ACCUCGGCGGUGCAAUGGAAAGCACGGCAGACCGGAUAUCUGUAAGUGCGGGUACGAGUCCCGCCUGAGAUG
Molecule: non-coding RNA, 72 nt
Organism: Dictyocaulus viviparus (bovine lungworm)
Lineage: Eukaryota; Metazoa; Nematoda; Chromadorea; Rhabditida; Metastrongylidae
Source: Rfam